GCUAAGGGUCAGCAGCAACACACUGCACUCCUGACUCCUGCUCUGAUACUUGCCUCACUGGAACCGUCAUCCCCUCUCAUGUGGCAAAUGCAGCUGGGUAUGUGGUCAGUGCAACCUGUACUUCUACAGCCACCAGCCUGCAGGCUGGACCCCAUUAGAGUGAGGAACGGAACCCCUGCUAGCCAGCCUCAGGUGACAAAACUGAGGCUCAGAGGCCAAUGGCCUUGUUCAAGGUCACACGCCCACUAAAUGAGAGACCCGGAGACCUGGCAUCACACGCUAACUAAGAAUACUGGAAGGAGAUAAGAUUGGGACUGAAAGACCUGGAUUGAAUGAUUUUUAUCAAGUCACUUCCCUUCCUUGGAUCUCCAUUUACUCAUCAAUAAACUAAGCAGAUUGGAUUAAAUGUUCUGUAAGGUGCCUUCUAGGUGAGGAAGAAGUUGGGAUAAGUCAUAAGGAAGCACCCCAAUGAACAUCUCCUGCCUCUAUGGUUUUUCUGACAUCCAUCAACAUCUGUCAGAAUUUGAAAAUGUGACUGCUUUUAGGCACUGUGCUUAGUGCUGGAGAUUCCGUGUUGAAGCUCACAGUCUGGGGCAGAGAUGGAAACAGACACAAAUAACUAUAAUACAAUGUGGUAAGUGCUGUAAUAUAGGUACUGUAUGCUCAGAGUGCUACGGGAACUCAGGAGGGAGCUUAUGAAAUAAUUUAGUUAAUGUUCCAAUGUCUAAAUGUGAAUGUUUAAAUAACGUCUUUCUUUCCUCAGUGCUUCCUGCUUUGCAUGGCAUUUUUUACUGUUUUUUAUCUUAUUUGCUGAUUCUAGCGAUCCCGUUAAUAAGUUUUCACUCCACAAACUCACCCUUAUACAGAGUAGGUGCUCAAGAAACAUCUCCCAAAAGACAGAAUAAGUGAAUGGAUAGUCGAUGUUAUUAGCUUUUGUUGACAAUUAG
RNAcentral lists this long non-coding RNA (947 nucleotides) under Homo sapiens (human). RNAcentral describes it as "HSALNT0365053". The record is from RNAcentral. Lineage: Eukaryota; Metazoa; Chordata; Mammalia; Primates; Hominidae.